GGCCAGCGGGACCCAGGACGCUGCAGGCCUCCAGACGCAACGCGAGGGGUUCCCCUGGGACCAGCUCCUUCAGCGCCGGGGUUUCGGAGCUUGGGCCAAUAUUCCAGCGUCCUAAAUGUGUCAGGGAAACUGCCAGAAGCGGCGGAGCCGACAGCACGGUGCCGACGAGGACCACAGGCAGCUGAAGAAAUGGAAGUUCUGAGAAACUAAGGGGCUUCCCUGAUGCUUGCAGAUGAGGCAAGGACGGAUGGAGAAUCGGGCUUUGGACGCCACAGUGAUGAUCUCACAGUUCGUGAGUUUGAGCCCCACGUCAGACCUCGCGCUGACAGUGCAGAGCCUGCUUGGUAUUCUCUCUCUCCCUCCCUGUCUGCCCUUCCCCUCCCCUCUCAAAAUAAAUAACUAAACUUAA
This is a long non-coding RNA of Neofelis nebulosa (Clouded leopard), 409 nucleotides long. RefSeq lists it as uncharacterized. The record is from RefSeq and is a predicted model, not a curated record. The transcript has 3 exons. Lineage: Eukaryota; Metazoa; Chordata; Mammalia; Carnivora; Felidae.